GUGUGUGCAGCUCAGAUGGUACGAGCGCCGGAUUGUGGCUCCGGAGGACGGCGGUUCAAACCCGCCCACGCACCCCA
Molecule: transfer RNA, 77 nt
Filed under: Lachnospiraceae bacterium
Lineage: Bacteria; Bacillati; Bacillota; Clostridia; Lachnospirales; Lachnospiraceae
Description: tRNA-His
Rfam family: tRNA
About the family: Transfer RNA (tRNA) molecules are approximately 80 nucleotides in length. Their secondary structure includes four short double-helical elements and three loops (D, anti-codon, and T loops).
Source: RNAcentral